Molecule: transfer RNA, 86 nt
Filed under: Candidatus Kinetoplastidibacterium crithidiae
Lineage: Bacteria; Pseudomonadati; Pseudomonadota; Betaproteobacteria
Description: tRNA-Leu
Rfam family: tRNA
About the family: Transfer RNA (tRNA) molecules are approximately 80 nucleotides in length.
Source: RNAcentral
GCCGACGUGGUGGAAUUGGUAGACACGCUAUCUUGAGGGGGUAGUGGCUAAUUGCUGUGCGAGUUCGAGUCUCGCCGCCGGCACCA